GGCCCGGUAGCAAAGUGGCCAUGCAGCGGCCUGCAAAGCCGUCCACGGCGGUUCGAUUCCGCCCCGGGCCUCCA
RNAcentral lists this transfer RNA (74 nucleotides) under Rhodospirillaceae bacterium. Its description in RNAcentral is "tRNA-Cys". It matches the Rfam family "tRNA". Rfam says of the family: Transfer RNA (tRNA) molecules are approximately 80 nucleotides in length. Their secondary structure includes four short double-helical elements and three loops (D, anti-codon, and T loops). Further hydrogen bonds mediate the characteristic L-shaped molecular structure. tRNAs have two regions of fundamental functional importance: the anti-codon, which is responsible for specific mRNA codon recognition, and the 3' end, to which the tRNAs corresponding amino acid is attached (by aminoacyl-tRNA synthetases). tRNAs cope with the degeneracy of the genetic code in two manners: having more than one tRNA (with a specific anti-codon) for a particular amino acid; and 'wobble' base-pairing, i.e. permitting non-standard base-pairing at the 3rd anti-codon position. The record is from RNAcentral. Lineage: Bacteria; Pseudomonadati; Pseudomonadota; Alphaproteobacteria; Rhodospirillales; Rhodospirillaceae.